Long non-coding RNA from Suricata suricatta (meerkat), 2597 nucleotides. RefSeq lists it as uncharacterized. The transcript has 3 exons. The record is from RefSeq and is a predicted model, not a curated record. NCBI's taxonomy places the organism in Eukaryota, Metazoa, Chordata, Mammalia, Carnivora, Herpestidae.
GCCUCAUGUGUGUAUGUGCAUGCUCUUUCAAAUUAAAUAAAUAGAAAUUAGUAAAUGAAGAGGAAAAAAACACAUAGGAGAAUAUAAAGAAUAGAUGGGGAGUUGGGGAAGAAUGGUAACAAUAUGAUAUAGAUGAGCAGACUAUGACAUGCAGAAUUGUUAUACUGAGUUUGACUCUGAGCUGCCUGGGUAUUGAAGUAGAACAACAUUGAUCUUUUACAUAUUACUCUUCAAUCAUGAGUUCCUCAAGAGGAAUUGUUUUAAACUGGAGUAAGUCUUGGUCACCGUACCAUUUUUUAAUUAAGAAUAAUGUAUCAAAUUAAAAACUACUUGGCUUGUUAAAAGAUUCUCUCAAACAUAUGCAGGGGUAAAAUAUUAGACACCUUAUCAGAGAUCAAAUGAGAAUAGAUAACCUUUACUACUGCUACUCAACAGUGUUCUUGGACGUCUCUGUCAGUACAAUUACCAAGACAAAAAGUAAUGAUAUAAAUACUAGGAAGUGAGAACAUUUGUAAGAAAUACCUACCUAUAAGACAAUCAACUGGCAAGUCAUUAGAAACCAUGACAGUUCAGCAAGGUGACUGAAAACAAGAUUAAUAUAUAAAAAACAGCAAUAUUGAGAAAUUUUAUGGGGGGGGGAUGGAUAGUAUCCCAAUAGCAAUUUUUUAAAAAGAUUACCUAGAAAUAAAAGCCUAACAAGAGUUAUUGGAGAAGUUAAAACUUUAUUGGAGAAAAUAAAUAGUAGAGAGGAAUGUCAUGGUUAUGAAUGGGAAGGCUUAAUAUUGUAAAGAAUUCAAUACUAUUUUAAAAAUCUCAACAGGAUUUACCAUAGAACUGUUCAAACUGAUUCUAAAAUGGAUGUGAACGUGUACAUUCAAAAACAGCCAAAAUAUAAAAUCGUAACCAUUAGCUAUAUCUCGUACUAUGCUUACAGACUUCCACUUCACUUUGAAAUUCAGUAAACUGUAUGUCUUAAUUCAACUGCUUUAGUUGCAUUUGAUCAAAAGAUUUUAAUGAACUUAUAGGUGCGUGAAAUUUGCUGAUAAACCAAUGGAAAGCCACUGUUAACCUUGCAAGACAAAUGAACAGUUACUGCUGGGAGAACAUAAACCUUGUUUCCGUAUAAAGCAUGUGCAGAGGUGGAGAGAAAGGAAUCCUAGCAUCUGAAGUAACCAGAUGGAAAGAAGAGCCAGGAGCCAUGCAGCAGUCUUUUGCCCGGGAAGUGCAGUGUUUUGAAGAAGGCAGGGAGCCCUCUGUGCUAGAAAGCCGGCCCUAGACCCACCACCAUUUUAGAGUCUUCAAGCAGUCUUUGGAUCUGCAUUUGAGUUUAAAGGAGAAAAUUUCUGAUCACCUUUUAGAGUCUGAGUGUGAACCUACUGUCUAGAGUCAGGGAGCAAAGCAUCCACUUCUACCCCCACCUUCAUCAACCUCCUACUCCCCACUGCCAUGGCCUUGAACCAAUCAAGGAGGAUCUGGGCCCCAUUCCUGCAAACUUUCUAAGUAGCCCAGAAGUAACCCAAGUUGUGUCCUACUGACCCUGGAAGCCUUCUCUACAACUAUGGAAUACAUAAGCCGGAAUCUGCCUAGUCCAACACUAAGCAAGACCGGACCCUCACCUCCUGGAGUAGCUGAAGUUGAAACAUUAAUGCUGGAAGGAUGGCCUCAUCUUGAGUUUAUAAACAGUUUUGUAGUGGAGCCUUCUAGGGACGAGGAAGGGCAUGUGGCUGAUUUCGGUCUUGCUGAACCAGAAGAGGGCACUUAAAUACAGACAGAGGUAGGUCACUGUGCUGUGAGGCCCCGUUGGGCAAACAUCUUCAGGAGCUUUGUAAUGUGUCACUUUGGGGCUACCUGUUUUCUAGACAGGAAGCAAUUCUUCACUUGACUAAUGAUGAAGUUUCUUCUGCUUUCAGGGACUUUCUACCAAGUGGACUCUUGUAACAACCCACAUUUCUCCUUCAGUUUCCAGUUUUACUGCUGUACGUGCUAUAUACAGCUUCCAGUAAUGAUUCCUGCAGAGCGGGUGGGAGCUUGGCCCCGGAAAUGGCAGUGGUCUCCCCGAGCCUGCCUCACAGGACAAAUGCUGCCUGCCUUCCAGACUCUGCCUCUAGCAACUGCCUGGGACCCCCUGAACUAAGAGCACCCACCUAAUGUGUCAUCAUCCCCUCCAGAAGAUAGCCGGAGUCCUGAGUGCAGGUUGCCAGCCUCCAUUUCAUCAUUUGGUUUUCUGCUUUUAAAUGUUUCCAUGGAACUUACAGCAGUCCACCUCACACGUUUUUAACUCUUUUUUAAACUAAUGAGGUGACCUGUUCAGGGUAGACGAGCCAAAUGAAUCUUGACGAAAGCAACCCAUAACACCAUAACAGCAAAUAAAUGAUUUUACCUCAGCUGGCCAAAACAUCUUCGUGGCAUGGGAGGCACAGAGCUGUUCUCUCGGCCUUUGACUGGAAGAGUGGAAGUGACAGCCUUGAUUCUCCGAAAGCAGACUUUACAUGAGCACCAAGUGUGUGUGAGGGCAUUUAGGAGAAAGGUCAUUUUUUUUAAAUCAUAAAGCAUCUUUUAAGAAAAGUUUUUAAUGUUUGUUUUUGAGAGAGACAGAG